GUUCUUUAAAUGAGGACUCGUAUCAAUGGCACCACGAGGACUUUACUGUCUCCUUUUUCUAAUCAGUGAAACUAAUCUUCCCGUGAAGAAGCGGGAAUAAAUAGAUAAGACGAGAAGACCCCAUGGAGCUUUAAGCUUACUGCACCUCUAUUUUCUAUAACCUCUUAUUAAACGGAAUACUGCUUACUUAGCUUUAGGUUGGGGUGACCGCGGAGUAUAACAUAACCUCCAUGAUGAACAAAACUAUUCUCUUAUCUAAGAACAACAGUUCUAAGAAUUAGUAUUCUAACAUAAAAUGAUCCGAUAAUCGAUCAACGGACUAAGUUACCCUGGGGAUAACAGCGCAAUCCAUUUCAAGAGCCCCUAUCGACAAAUGGGUUUACGACCUCGAUGUUGGAUCAGGAUAUCCUAGUGGUGCAGCAGCUACUGAAGGUUCGUUUGUUCAACGAUUAAAAUCCU
Molecule: ribosomal RNA, 459 nt
Filed under: Gephyromantis enki
Lineage: Eukaryota; Metazoa; Chordata; Amphibia; Anura; Mantellidae
Description: partial 16S ribosomal RNA
Rfam family: Bacterial large subunit ribosomal RNA
Source: RNAcentral